UAAGUGAGUUGAUGGUGUUCAGCCCCAGGGACAAGUUUGUUUGCCUGUCUGUGAUUGGCGUUCAGCACCAAGGACAGGUGUACUGUGUA
RNAcentral lists this microRNA precursor (89 nucleotides) under Branchiostoma floridae (Florida lancelet). Its description in RNAcentral is "mir-2060 microRNA precursor family". It matches the Rfam family "mir-2060 microRNA precursor family". The record is from Rfam by way of RNAcentral. Lineage: Eukaryota; Metazoa; Chordata; Leptocardii; Amphioxiformes; Branchiostomatidae.